GAUGAAGAACGCAGCGAAAUGCGAUAAGUAAUGCGAAUUGCAGAAUUUCCGUGAGUCAUCGAAUCUUUGAACGCACAUUGCGCCCACUGGUAUUCCGGUGGGCAUGCCUGUUCGAGCGUCAUUACAACCCUCAAGCUCAGCUUGGUGUUGGGCCCCGCCGCCCCGGCGGGCCCUAAAGUCAGUGGCGGUGCCGUCCGGCUCCGAGCGUAGUAAUUCUUCUCGCUCUGGAGGUCCGGUCGUGUGCUCGCCAGCAACCCCCAAUUUUUUUCAGGUUGACCUCGGAUCAGGUAGGGAUACCCGCUGAACUUAAGCAUAUCAAUAAGCGGAGGA
This 330-nucleotide unclassified non-coding RNA is filed under the name soil metagenome. RNAcentral describes it as "partial contains 5.8S ribosomal RNA, internal transcribed spacer 2, and large subunit ribosomal RNA". The stretch from base 1 to 121 matches the Rfam family "5.8S ribosomal RNA", at positions 35 to 154 of the family's 154-position model. The record is from RNAcentral.